AACGAACGCUGGCGGCAGGCCUCAAACAUGCAAGUCGAGGGGGCGUAGCAAUACGUCACCGGCGGACGGGUGCGUAACACGUGGGAAUGUACCUAGUGGUUCGGAACAACGCUUGGAAACGAGUGCUAAUACCGGAUGUGCCCGAAAGGGGAAAGAUUUAUCGCCACUAGAUCAGCCCGCGCAGGAUUAGCUAGUUGGUAGGGUAAUGGCCUACCAAGGCUCCGAUCCUUAGCUGUUCUGAGAGGAAGAUCAGCCACACUGGGACUGAGACACGGCCCAGACUCCUACGGGAGGCAGCAGUUGGGAAUCUUGGACAAUGGGCGAAAGCCUGAUCCAGCCAUGCCGCGUGAGUGAUGAAGGCCUUAGGGUUGUAAAGCUCUUUUACCCGGGAAGAUAAUGACGGUACCGGGAGAAUAAGCACCGGCUAACUCUGUGCCAGCCGCCGCGGUAA
RNAcentral lists this ribosomal RNA (451 nucleotides) under uncultured bacterium. RNAcentral's name for it is "partial 16S ribosomal RNA". It matches the Rfam family "Bacterial small subunit ribosomal RNA", at positions 29 to 523 of the family's 1533-position model. The record is from RNAcentral.